This 88-nucleotide transfer RNA is filed under the name Planctomycetota bacterium. Its description in RNAcentral is "Planctomycetes bacterium tRNA-Leu". It matches the Rfam family "tRNA". Rfam says of the family: Transfer RNA (tRNA) molecules are approximately 80 nucleotides in length. Their secondary structure includes four short double-helical elements and three loops (D, anti-codon, and T loops). Further hydrogen bonds mediate the characteristic L-shaped molecular structure. tRNAs have two regions of fundamental functional importance: the anti-codon, which is responsible for specific mRNA codon recognition, and the 3' end, to which the tRNAs corresponding amino acid is attached (by aminoacyl-tRNA synthetases). tRNAs cope with the degeneracy of the genetic code in two manners: having more than one tRNA (with a specific anti-codon) for a particular amino acid; and 'wobble' base-pairing, i.e. permitting non-standard base-pairing at the 3rd anti-codon position. Lineage: Bacteria; Pseudomonadati; Planctomycetota. The record is from RNAcentral.
GGGGAGGUGGCGGAAUCGGUAGACGCAUCGGACUUAAAAUCCGAAGGGCGAACAGCCCGUGGGGGUUCGAGCCCCCCCCUCCCUACCA